CUGGCCAGGCCGCAUCUGUGAUUUCUCCGCCCGCUCUGCAAUAUUUAAAUAGGCAAACCGAUCCACAUCGACACAAUAAUUCAGCUUUUUUUUUUUUUUUGUCUUUGUCGUUUUCUACAGGACCCCCUAGAGAUGGACCUUCAAUUCCUCGGUCCUCCCUCUAGAACUGGCAUGCUCCAUCUCUGUCCAUGCAGGCCCAAUUAUCCAGAUCCUUGGGGUUCCAAGAUAGCCUGAGUCAUUGGAACUAGGAACACCUGGCUGAAUCACGCCAUGCAAUUAGAUUUUCUUGUUCCUUCUUACUCCUUAUCCAUUUAUUUUUAAAGAGGGCAGCGAUUAACCGCCCAACUGGGCGGAGUAGUUGAGGAGGAGGAAGGAAAAGCGCCAAGGACUCUGUGCAGACCCUAGAGAGACCUCCAGGCUCCGCUGGGCCGGGACUCCUUUCCCUCCCUCGGCAUCCCAGCCUCCUCCUCCGCGAAUUGUUUUUCCCCCCUUUUCCUCCCACUGUCCUCUCUUCGGUUUAAUUAAAGUUCAGCGACUACACUAGCUUCUCGAAUUUCUUCCAGAAAUCGGAAACCGGACGGCCGGCCGGGCAAUCACGGGCUGAGCAGCCUCCCUCGCCUACUUCUCUGUGCUCGCCAAGGCCCUGCCACUCAGCCGCAGGUGUGCAGGAGGUUGGCCUGGGGACCAGAACCACCGCCCGGCCUGAGCAGGACCUCUAGGUUGGCUGCACAAAGUUUGAAGGCCUCUCCACCUGCCCAGGAGACUGACUGACCACGGGUUUCAGUCCUGCGCUGGGAACCUCCACUGUCUUCCGCCCACUCCUACUUAGCUCCUCAAAGUCCAGCAGACUUCUGACUCUCCGUGUAUCUCGGGGAUACUGUUGCCCCAGUACUUUAGCCCCUUCUCUGUGUGGUGUGGCUCUCCUCAGCAGUGUUUUACAAAGAAGAAAGAACAGCUUGGAGACAUGUUUACAUCUAGUUCUACGGAUCCAUUCACAUCUGGAGAGUUUAUUUAUAACUCCCUCCAUAACUCUCUCUGUUUGGAGGCACCAGUGGCUGUAUUGACAGACGGAUGUCUACAAAAUAUUGCUCUAUCUCUAACCAUACCUAAAUGUGCUGUAGUUGUAUUUACAGAUUUAUGCCUGAGGAGAAUAUAAUUAUUUCCAUUGUA
This is a long non-coding RNA of Rattus norvegicus (Norway rat), 1170 nucleotides long. RefSeq lists it as uncharacterized. The record is from RefSeq and is a predicted model, not a curated record. NCBI's taxonomy places the organism in Eukaryota, Metazoa, Chordata, Mammalia, Rodentia, Muridae.